This 329-nucleotide ribosomal RNA is filed under the name uncultured Catonella sp. RNAcentral's name for it is "partial 16S ribosomal RNA". Lineage: Bacteria; Bacillati; Bacillota; Clostridia; Lachnospirales; Lachnospiraceae. The record is from RNAcentral.
GGAGUUUGGGCCGUGUCUCAGUCCCAAUGUGGCCGUCCGCCCUCUCAGGCCGGCUACUGAUCGUUGCUUUGGUAGGCCUUUACCCUGCCAACUGGCUAAUCAGACGCGGGCUCAUCCUGUAUCCUUAAAAAGUUUCCCGAUCGGAUCAUGCGAUCCAACCGGCGUACGCGGUAUUACCAGCCGUUUCCAGCUGCUAUUCCCCGAUACAGGGCAGAUUACCCACGCGUUACUCACCCGUCCGCCACUAAGAACAUCGGAAUCCAUCCGAAGACUUCUUCCGAAGUCCUCCGUUCGACUUGCAUGUGUUAGGCACGCCGCCAGCGUUCAUC